GGGGAUGUACCGGUUUCGACAGGAGAUUCUGGUUCAUAAACAGCGAGUCGGGAUUUCAUCUACCCCGUUAAACGGUGAAAAAACUUAAACGCAAAACGUGAUUUUGCUUUAGCAGCUUAAUCUGCUAAUGUCCCCUGGCGUUUUCCUAUGACCUCAGGCUGACAUCAACCAAUAGGAUACCAAUGAAGGAAGUCCGGGACUUCUGCGGAAAACUAAUUCUGGAAUCGGCAAAGGUAGUUUGUUCCUGUACGAUACUUUGCUUAAACUCUAAAACAGUAACUGCACUCGGAGAAAUUUAUGGGACAGGCUUUUUGGACAGGGGUUCGACUCCCCUCAUCUCCACCA
This is a non-coding RNA of Dialister sp. CAG:357, 345 nucleotides long. It matches the Rfam family "transfer-messenger RNA". From Rfam's summary of the family: Bacterial tmRNA, also known as 10Sa RNA or SsrA, is named for its dual tRNA and mRNA-like properties. Its role is to liberate the mRNA from a stalled ribosome. To accomplish this part of the tmRNA is used as a reading frame that ends in a translation stop signal. NCBI's taxonomy places the organism in Bacteria, Bacillati, Bacillota, Negativicutes, Veillonellales, Veillonellaceae. The record is from Rfam.